Mustela erminea (ermine) is the source of this 8580-nucleotide RNA transcript. It is a transcript of the gene named BCL2 like 11, with no coding region annotated. The record is from RefSeq and is a predicted model, not a curated record. NCBI's taxonomy places the organism in Eukaryota, Metazoa, Chordata, Mammalia, Carnivora, Mustelidae. The transcript is spliced from 7 exons.
GGCGGCCUGACCCGUAGGCGCCGCCCCCGCCGGCGGCGGCUAUUGGCUGUGGCGCGGAGCGACCGCGCGCGGGCCAAUUGGGAGCGCGGGCACCCGGCGCCAGCGGCGCGGGGAGGUCGGCGGUGCCGGCGGCGGCGGGCGCAGUGCGCGAGGGGAGGAGCGGGAGGAGGCGGAGGAUGUUCCCGGCGGCGGCGGCCGGGGCAGCGCGGGCCAGAGGCGCGGCGCGCGGAGCCCUCGGCUGCCGGACGGCUCGCGGCGGCGGGCGGGCUGCCAGUGGCCGGCUCUGCGCUGCCCCGGGGGCUCUGAAGGCGAGUCCCAGGCUUUGUCUCCCGCGCUUCUUUCGUGCUGACGGUCAGGGAGCUCCGGGUCGGCGAAGGACGCGGGCGGGACGCCGCGGGGCUCGGGCCCGGACGCGACGGUCGGAAGGGAAGGGGCGGACAAAAAAAGACCAAAUGGCAAAGCAACCUUCAGAUGUAAGUUCUGAGUGUGACCGAGAAGGUGGACAAUUGCAGCCUGUUGAGAGGCCUCCUCAGCUCAGGCCUGGGGCCCCUACCUCUCUACAGACAGAGCAGCAAGGUAAUCCUGAAGGCGAAGGGGACCGCUGCCCCCAAGGCAGCCCUCAGGGCCCACUGGCCCCACCUGCCAGCCCCGGCCCUUUUGCUACCAGAUCCCCGCUUUUCAUCUUUGUGAGAAGAUCCUCCCUGCUGUCUCGAUCCUCCAGUGGGUAUUUCUCUUUUGACACAGACAGGAGCCCGGCACCCAUGAGUUGUGACAAAUCAACACAAACCCCAAGUCCUCCUUGCCAGGCCUUCAACCAUUAUCUCAGUGCAAUGGAACAUUUCCUCUCCCCGUGCGGGGUUUGCAGACUUGAAUCCACCUUUGUGGGCUCCAUUAACACUGAGACAGAACUCACAGCUUCCAGGAGGCAGUCUCAGGCUGUACCUGCAGAUAUGCGCCCGGAGAUGUGGAUUGCGCAGGAGUUGCGGCGUAUUGGAGACGAGUUUAAUGCAUAUUACCCAAGGAGGUUAGAGCAAUAGAGGAAGGUGUCGUGUAGUUGUCAUGUGUUCAGUCCACUUAAGGGCAGUGGGGAAGCGUAUGAAACGGAGCUGUGGAGUCUGAAUCCUUGAAGGAGGAGGUGUGAGAGGCACAGACUUCCCAUCUAAAAAGUCGCAAGAAUGGUACAAAGAACCCUCUUCUAUCUGCCGCCCGAGUUCCCCACCGUUCCCGUGUCGCCACAUCUGCUUUAAUGUUCUCCCCCUUCUAUACCUGUGCACGUGUUGUUUUCUGGACUCUGGGAAUAAAUGCUAGGUGUGAUGUUCUUUCGCCCUCAAAUCCAUCAAUGUGUGUUUCCUAAGAAUAAGAGUAUUCUCUUACAUAACCACAGUGUAAUUCUCAAAAUCAGGAAAUUAGCAGUGUGACAGUACUGUUAUGUAAUCUGUGGACCUCAUCCAAACUUUACCAGUUGUGCCAAAAAUGUCCUUUAUAGUAACAACAAAAAAAUAAAAAAGUUUUUUUUUUUUUCUGGCCCAGGAUCCAGUUUAAAGUCAUGCGUUAAAUUUAGUUGUCUUAUCCCUUUGAUGCCAUUGAUUUGGAACUAUUCCUCCGUCUCUGUGACCCUGACAUUUUUGAAGGGUCAGGACAGGUAUUUUAUGGAUACUCCCUGAAUUUGAUUUGAUUUGUCUGUUGUCUCCUUGGGAUAAGAUUCGAGUUGUGUGCUUGGGCAGGAGUACGGCACGGGCGACAUCGUGUCCUCUCCCAUCAGGUCCCCAACGGGGAGUCCGUUGGCCCUGUCACUGGUGAUGCUGACUCUACUCAAAGCUGGCACCUUCCAGUCGAAAGCCAGCGCGUUUGUAUUUGUAAUGGGAGGGAGGUGUGUGUAGAGGAUGAACGACUUCCUUUCCCCAUUAUAUUUUUAUCCCGUUCAUCAGCCUACAUUCAUGGGUCCCUGUUUAAUUCAGUAGGUUCCUCUGCAUUAUUAUCCUGGGUACUUACUUUGAUCCUCAGAUUGUCACAGAUCUGGCCAGUGGUGGGCCUCUGGUGUGUUUUUACCUGUCAGUUCAGCAUUAAAGGGCCUCAGUCGUGCAGGCACAUCUAGAACUUGCUCCAGGACAAAAUCCAAGCGCCCAUGGAGGUGGUGGAGCUUCCAGAAGGCAUCUGUUGCUGAGUAGUCUACACCCACAUGGUGCCGUGACUUUUCCAGCCCCACUCUGCACCCCACCCCUGUGUCCGGGCUCAAGGAUUGCUGGGGAGAGUGGAAGUCGGAGGACUUGGAGGGAAGAAGAUUUCUCAGAGAAGCUAGAUCUUUGUUUUGAGCUUUAUGAAGAGGGUGAGUGGCUGAUAUUCAGCUGAGUGGUGGGGCAUGGAGUGCUGUGUGCUUACUGCCCAAUCUAAGGGGAUGGUCCACUUGGAUGGGAUUCUUAGCCAUGGGCCAAGGGUGCAGGCCCGUCUGUGGAGCAUGUGCUGGGCCCUUCAGAACAUUGGAACAUGUGCUCUUGGGGUAAUUAGACCCAUCCUCUACUCCACGUCUGCCUCGCCCUCUUCCCCAUUACCAAGGCUGCCAUCGUUCACCUUUGGUGGCCUCCCCCAAGCCUUUGUAGUCAGGAUAUCCAGCCUAGUUUGCUCUGUGCACAGGUAGACUUCUCUUGGUUGAUAGUGACUUGGGGAUGUCCUGGCCGUGGCCUGCCUUGAGCAGCAGCAUGUGAAACUACGUCAGACCCUCUAGAUGGGCCAAGAAGUGAAUGAAAACCCUUUCAUUGUUUGAUCCCAAGAAACAGUGUAUCUUUUGUUUACACUGCUUGCUUCCUACUUCUUCUGUCCCAGGCAUGUGCAGGCAUGAGUAGACUGAACUGUAGGCCAACUGAAGUAUAGCACCAAACCAGACAAAGUAGAGAGGGAAAGGGAGGUGGCUCACAGACUGGUUUAGGUGGAAACAAAAGCUUAAUGGAAGUGUCACCCAUUUGCAUUUUCAUACAUGAUACAUGAACUUGAACUCUUCCUCUGCUGUCCUUCCCAGGACAUGAACUCCCUGUGCUGUCGGAUUCCUGGUUUUAUAAAUGAUACUGUUCUAUAGGUAAUGUACAAGGGGGAGGAUCUAAUCUGUAGCUCUCUUGUUUGGAAAUAGCAUAACCUGAAUAUAAACUCAGAGAUAUGUGUCCUCGGACAACAUUCCUUUGAGUCCCUCAAUAAUUGAACAUAGAAGCUUUGUAAAUGAGCCACUUUCUGUUACUGUUUGAGCAAAGAAUAGUGAAAAACCAGCAUAUGAAUUAGUACAUUGAAACUGGACGCAUCUCAUGAGAUGGUGAGUCGCCCGCAAGUUGAUAAAAUGACAGUUUUCAUAGCAAAAACUGUUGUGAGCAGCUUAAGUGAAUUAGUGCCCAUCAUUGAUCUGUGACACAGUUUGAAGAAUCGGUGAGUGUUUGCCUUCCAGCUGGAGGAGGGAGCUCAGGGUUUUGGCUUUAGGAGCCUUCCGAUGCCCCCAUUGCAGAGUCACUGGAGCCUGUGUGAUCCAGGAGUCAUCCUUCUUAUGGCUUCAGCCCUUUGUGUCUUUCCCUGAGACCUUCGGGACAGCACGUGGUUGCGCUCAUUGAUCCCAAUGGCAGCUGUGGAUGGCAGGUUUUCUGAACGAGGGCAUUCCAUGACUUGGGGAUAAAGUGUGAUCUUACAGGAAAGCAGGACUUGUGGACAGGUGUGAGAACUUUGGGGUGAGGCCUUGAAUCCUACUCUAUCCAUUAUAUCCUCUAGGCACCCCAUUUUCUCUCAGCCUCCUCAGGAUGUGGUGAAGGUCACAGGGACCCAUUCAGGGACGGAGCUAGAAAUUGCUAUCAUCGCUAGCCCGUCAUGCUGAGGUUUCUCUGCACUAGAACUGAAACAUUUCUCAGCUGGUCUUCAGAGUUGAGACGGAUGCUGCUGACUUGGUUCACUUGUUCAGCACCCUGCUUGUGUUGGGCCCUACCGAUGCAUGCUGUGUCUGGGUAUGCACAAACAGGAGACGGGGCUGGGGCGCUGGGGUGUGUUUCAAUGGCUGGGUGGGCAUCGCCCUGGGUGCGGCGGUGUCCGUACACGCUGCCCGCGGCUGCCGCUCCAUCCGCCUGUAGCAGGUGGGUACACCUGCACGCCUGCCUCGCGGUGGGUGGGGAGGACCCGGGCCAUUCACACAGAACUGUUCAGAGGUGCAGGUGCCCGGAGGGGGACUUCAGAGAGGUCUGUCUGGGGUUUUUUAAUCUCUGGAGGAGGAAAUGAAGAUGCACAUGAGGCGAGGCUCGCAGUCUGCAGCCGCUCUCACCAUCCUUCGCUAGCCGCCUCCCAGCUGAUCCAGAGCAGAGCGCUUGGGGCUGUGGUCACAGAGCGUUACGUCUCAGCAGCGCUUCUCUGGGGCUGGGGCAUGUCGGAGCCGUGUAUUCUUGCUCCAGGGCUCAUGUUUUGUCUGACGGAGGCCCCCCCGCCCCCCCGCACCCACGUAUCUCUGGCUCCUCUGCGGUUGCUCCCCAUGCAGUGCCACACAUCCCGGGUGACAGUCCGAGGGCCACCGAGUCAGAGAUCUGCCAGGAGAGGGGUGUGCGCCGUGCUGCCUGAAGAAAACCCUGGGAAUGCAGGGCCUGACAGCAAGUCAGCAGGGGAAGCGCUUGGUCUGCAGAAAGCCUGAGCUAUAAUAGUUUCUUUGAAAUGAUACAUCAGAAGCAAAGGAGAGGCAGAUUCACACUGAUGGGAUUUUUCUGUGACUUCCCCUCCUGGGGAGGUCAGCGGCUGCUCCCGAGGUGGGAGAACUCCCUCCCGCUCAGCCUGUGGGAGCAUCACGUCUGGGGGAGGGGCUCCUGGCACCCUUUCCACAGCUGUGUUGACAUCAGAGUGAGUUAGGCACAAGCUAUGCAAAUCCCCCCGUUGCCGUGGUGAUGAAUAGAAAGUGAAUCUGGGCAGCACUGCAGCAGCAGCCUGACACCUGAAAGCAGGAGGCUGUCAAACCUCCUCUAAAAUCUGGGCCGAGGUGGAGAGACCCAAGAUGCUCCGUGUGGUAGGCCCUUUUCCUCUCUGAUCUCUGCCUCCGUCACUUGUCAUGUAAAAUACUGUUUAGGUUGUUGGAGGUUAUAAAUGCAUAGAGGUGGUCUUCCAUCAGGAUCACUCCAGCUUGCUCUGCUCCACCCACCCACCCACCCAGUCAGCUUGGAUUGUGGCAACAACACCCAUGCGUGUCCUGGAAGAUGCCGCGACAGCCCCUAGGGGACCAGACACCACCCAGACACUCACGUGACCCGCUUGUCGAUCUGGGGCAGACGUUCCCUGUCAGUCUCAAUUGAGAGAAAAGAAUUCACAGUCCAGAAUUCUGUCUCUUCUAACAUGUUACCACUCAAAGAUUACAUCCUUCUAAAAAGGAAGAAAAAAAAUUACUAAGGACCUGUUAAGUAUUCAGUGUUGAAAUUCUGUAAGGGGUUUUUUGAGUGAGUUUAAAAAUUGCUGUGUGUUUCAGAGUUCUGUAGGUAUUCCUUGCUUUUUCACUUGUCUCUUAGAAUUUGCUUUUGAGCUCUCUGGUAUAAUGGUGAAGAUCAGGCCGUCUUUACCUUGUUACUUUGACUGCCAGGAAGCUCUUAGCCAAAGUCUGGCUCUUUGGCAGUAGACCUCAGCCCUGGUUCCCAGGGUAAGUCUCUCUUGAUGUCAUUUCUUACCUCUCUUAACAUUCAUGUUUUUUGCGCUGUGCCCAUCUGUGAUUUUUGUGCUUCAGCUUCCUUGAGUAAUGCCAAAUGUAUAUGUGUUGUCCUUUCUGAGUCCUUUGGCCCAGUGGGGAUUGGACCAGCCUUUGGAGUGUGGAUUAGUGAGCUCUUGUGCUGAAGUCUGAGUUGAGUUGACUUGAUUUUGAUUCUACAAGUUUGGUCUGUCCCCUCGUCUGUGAAAUCUGAAAGAGAGUUAUACUGGCCCACAGCUCAUUGUGAAGACUGAGAAGGUGUGUGGUAUGUCAUUUUGUUGAGUGGAGGCAGUGAGUGAGUGACUCUUCUGGACCCUGGGCAAGGGCACCCCAAAUCUGAAGGCCUGGUGUGUUUCGGGCGGCUUCUCAGAGCCUGGGCUCAUCUCUGCCUGCGGAAGAGCAGAGCUGGCCCCAGAACUGUGCUCUCCGGUUGUGCGGUGCUUCUCCCAACCACCCUGGACUGCCUGGGCUCAGGGUCUCUUGUAUCUGCAUGCUUGCUUCCCUGGACUGGGCAGGAGGGGAUAUUCUGCUCGGAUUAUUUUCGUAUUAUGAUAGUAAUUGAAUUCUGAUACUUGGUUGUUCCUCUCAAGUGUAAGUUGAAGGCGGUUCUCGUGCAGACGCCUCUGUGGAGGCUAGUGCUGUGUCCUGUGCCUGGCUGCUGCAGGCGGAGGUAGUCCUGUGUCUCAGGGCCGCGGUGGCUCAGAGGGCCCCAGCUUCUUGCAAGUCUGCCCGGACCCCACCCAAGGGUAUUCCUUUGGCACAGCCCCACCCCCAGCUGCCACCCAGGUUGAGCCCGUGUCCUCUGGUGAGGACAUAAGGGAACUGUUUGGGGAUUCCCUGCUGAAUGCUCUCAACACUGUCUCCAGGGACACUUCUCAGAUCUUCCAAGAAGCGCCUGAGUCUCCCGCAGGGAAGCAUGUCCCAGCUCUGGGCCUUCCUGCCCUGGAUAUCCCAGGGCCCUGCUUGCCUCUCUGGCGGGCGCUGCUUUCUCUGCCAUUUCAUUUACCUUGUGUAUUGCUAUUGUCCUAUUACCCCAUUUAUUUGUAUGGCUGUUCCCCACCAGAGCGUAAGCUUCAUAGAAAGAGAUGCUGUCAACACUUUUCUUGCAUCUUGACUCCACCUCGGCACAAGCCUCCCAUUUUCCUGGAAUGCAUAUAGGUGUUCUUUAUCUGCAAAGCGGGAACUUGAGUCCUGAUUACAGGAGCAGGGCAGCAGCUGUGGCUUUCUUACAGGCUGCUGUCACUGUUGGUAACACCCACGGUGGCCCUUGGGCUGGGCAUUGCUGUUUUGCACUUGUUGCUUAUGACAAGAGGAGUUGCCCACCGAGCCUAGUGGAUGCAGGCUUUCCGAGGCAGGCCCCAACACACUCCCUGCCCCAUGCAAGCAGGCCUAGGGGCUGUAGCCCCUGACCCAGACAGGAGUAUGGACUGUCAGAAUUAGUUCCUGGAGAGAGAUAAAAAGCUGAAUGUUGAAGGAGUCCUCUUCUGGACACAUGGGAUGGCCAUAAAAGUCAGUUACCCCAAAGGAUAUAGUUCCUGAUCUAAACGGUGGAGAUAAAAGACCCAACAGAAUGGGGCCCUACACUUCAAGCACUUGUGUUUUGUGUGUGUGUGUGUGUGUGUGUGUGUGUGCGCACGCCCGUGUGUGUAAGCAGAAGAGAUCACUAUAAUGCAUAAAUGGUUUGUACUUCGUAGCAUAUUUAUUUUAAAUAAUCUCCUUUAUCCAAAUGCAGCCCAUUAACAUAUCUUUCUAAAGUACUUUUAUGAAUUAAUGUAAAACAGCAUUAUACAACUCAGAUCUAAGAAGUGUUAUCUUAAAGAGGGAAGGAACCAGGAAUGUUCACUAAGCAUGAAAAGGUAUAUUCCUUUGCUAGGACUGCCAUAACAGAGUACCACGGGGAGGGGUGUGUUGAACAACAGAACUGUUCGCUCACAGUCCUGGAGGCCAGAGGACUGAGAUCUCGGGCUGGUUGUGCUGACAAGUGCUCGGAGCUGUUGGCUGGGGCCUGGCUGGUGUCCUCACCUGCCGGCGCCCAUGCCUCCUGCCCCUCGCUGGCAUCAUCAGGCACCUACCGUGUGCUCCUGUGAAUGAGCCGAUGCGUGCGGCUGCAGGUGCUAGAGGGCAGCGAGUCUGCGAGAAGCAGGAGCUGCCUGUCCUCCAGCUGCUCCGGAGCAACAGGCCGUACACGCUGAGCUGUGCCAGCUUCAGCCGGCUAUGCCAGCGGUCAAGGGUUUUCGGGACUGGUGUGGCCUUGGAAUUCAGUCAUAAUGGCUUCCUCCAUUGAAUGUUGUCCAAAAGCAGUUUCUUGCUGGCUUAAAAGCAAAAAGCAUGUGCCGUGUUGUCACACGCGCUGUCUGAGAGAGUAGGCGUCCUGCUGUCCUUCCUGAGUAGUUGUAGCAUCUUCUUGCUCAGGGAUUGGGUGUUCCUGUUGCCAGAAUUUCCUGCAUGGCCCCUGCCCCCUCCCCAGCUUCCUUUGAACAUCCCCAUGUCCUUUACACUUGACAUGCAAGCAGAACUCUAAAGAACUUGGAAAAACUGGUCUUGUGAUAAGACUCUUAAACGUCACGGCCACUGCCAUCCACCCGAUGUCCUCAAAGGGUAGGUGGGGGAUAUCUCCUCUCAGACGCGGCCAGUUCUGGAAUAUAAAAUGAGCUGCACGGAAGCAGUUGGGAUCUGUCCCCAACGUGGCCCUGUCCCUUUGCUGGAGUCACUUUGACCCCAUUCUCUUGUCUUACCGAGGCUGGGAGUGACACCUGGCUGACACAAGAUUUCCCACCUUGAAGAGAUUGCUUAGCCCUGUGCACGCUUUCUUCAUUUUAGUCUUUUUGAAUAAUUACCCAGCAGCCGAAGCCCACCCCCAAAUGAUUAUCUUACGACUGUUACGUUACAUCAUCCGCCUGGUGUGG